Molecule: RNA transcript, 1149 nt
Organism: Phyllopteryx taeniolatus (common seadragon)
Lineage: Eukaryota; Metazoa; Chordata; Actinopteri; Syngnathiformes; Syngnathidae
Gene name: histone H2B
Exons: 2
Source: RefSeq, a predicted model, not a curated record
CCUACUCGUCAGUGCAGCUAUGCCUGAGCCAGCAAAGGGCGCGCCCAAGAAGGGCUCCAAGAAAGCCGUCGCCAAGAGCGUCAGCAAGUCCGGCAGAAAGCGAAAGAGGAGCAGGAAGGAGAGCUACGCCAUCUACGUGUACAAAGUGCUCAAGCAGGUGCACCCCGACACCGGCAUCUCGUCCAAGGCCAUGAGCAUCAUGAACUCGUUCGUCAAUGAUAUCUUCGAGCGUAUCGCCGCCGAGGCGUCUCGUCUGACUCACUACAACAAGCGCUCCACCAUCACGUCCAGGGAGAUCCAGACCGCCGUGCGUCUCCUGUUGCCCGGUGAGCUGGCCAAGCACGCCGUGUCCGAGGGCACCAAGGCCGUCACCAAGUACACCAGCUCCAAGUAGAACGCUCCGACCGUACUACAAAAACAACGGCUCUUUUCAGAGCCACUUCAUUAUUCUUGAGAAAAGAUACACCAAGUACUCUCCUGCCUGCUUCUCUGAUCACCUUGGCUGCAGUGGUCCAGUCUUCUGGAAGCUCUUCCCGUCCACCGAGAGCCUGUAUCACCUCUUCCCGAAAAGCUGCACAACACUCGUCCUGUCUCAGCUUCCACCACAUGGUUCUCUUCUCUGCCUUUGUCUUCCUAAUUUUCCUCCCCACCACCAGAGUCAUCUUACACACCACCAUCCUAUGCUGUCUAGCCACACUCUCCCCUACCACUACCUUACAGUUGGUAACCUCCUUCAGAUUACAUCGUCUGCACAAGAUGUAAUCCACCUGUGUGCUUCUACCUCCGCUCUUGUAGGUCACCCUAUGUUCGUGCCUCUUCUGGAAAAAAGUGUUCACUACAGCCAUUUGCAUCCUUGUUGCAAAGUCUACCACCAUCUGUCCCUCCAAGUUCCUUUCCUGGAUACCGUACUUACCCAUCACUUCUUCAUCACCCUUAUUACCUUCACCAACAUGUCCAUUACAAUCUGCACCAAUUACGACUCUCUCUCUCUGUCUGGGAUGCUCAGAACUACAUCAUCUAGCUCCUUCCAGAAUUUCUCUUUCACCUCUAGGUCACAUCCUACCUGUGGGGCAUAGCCACUAAUCACAUUACACAUAACACCCUCAAUUUCAAAUUUCAGCCUCAUCACUCGAUCUGAUACUCUUUUCA